UCCCUGGAGGACUAGUGGUUAGGCCACAGCGCUCUCACCGCUGCAGCCCGGGUUCGAUUCCUGGCCAGGGAA
Molecule: transfer RNA, 72 nt
Filed under: Pangasianodon gigas (Mekong giant catfish)
Lineage: Eukaryota; Metazoa; Chordata; Actinopteri; Siluriformes; Pangasiidae
Description: tRNA-Glu
Rfam family: tRNA
About the family: Transfer RNA (tRNA) molecules are approximately 80 nucleotides in length. Their secondary structure includes four short double-helical elements and three loops (D, anti-codon, and T loops).
Source: RNAcentral